CUCUGCUCUCUGCCUGAGGUUCAGCUGCCAGCCAAGAACAGAAGCUCCUGGGGCUGCCUCUGGCUGUCGCUUCUGCUCAGAUGUGGGGCUACUCGUUUCCCUUGCCUGAUUGAGUCCCCCCUCCUAUCAUCCCAAUGACAAACAGGAAGAGAAGCAGCAAACCGGCAGCCCCACAGAGGAAGAAAAAAAGCUGCCAUUGAGAUCCCCAGCACACCCAGUUCCCGUUUAUAGGGGGCUCCACAGACAUCUCCUCUAAGGGAUUCCAGACAAAUGGCUGCACGGCUAUUUUCCCAGAAAGCAAGCAACUCUGAGCUACCCAGCUCAGUCCCUGCACCUCUUGGCUCACAUGGCUGCUGGUCUGUUAAAGCGGUUUCCCAAAUGUGUUAGGUUAGCAACACCCAGAAUUCCCAGCCGCCUGAUACCCUGGAAUUCGGAGGUGCACAGCUCAAGGAAUGGCCGAUCACCCAGCAGCAGGAAGAGGCCGAGGGUCACCCAGGCCGAGACCCUCCUUGGCAGGAGGAACAGCCUGCCCAGAUUUCCUGUCCAGUAACCAGAACCCAGGAGACAUCACAGAUGGACACAAGAUCUGUACCGGAGCUGCCUUCAUCAAUCCGCUGCUCACCUGAGUUCCAGCUGUUUGCGCUUCUGCACCUCUUGGUUGUGCAGCUCCUCCAUGCGCCUGAGCUCCUCCUGGCGCCUCAUCAAAUCUGG
Molecule: long non-coding RNA, 711 nt
Organism: Ahaetulla prasina
Lineage: Eukaryota; Metazoa; Chordata; Lepidosauria; Squamata; Colubridae
Exons: 3
Source: RefSeq, a predicted model, not a curated record